Molecule: unclassified non-coding RNA, 309 nt
Filed under: uncultured Typhula
Lineage: Eukaryota; Fungi; Basidiomycota; Agaricomycetes; Agaricales; Typhulaceae
Description: partial contains 5.8S ribosomal RNA, internal transcribed spacer 2, and large subunit ribosomal RNA
Rfam family: 5.8S ribosomal RNA (bases 1-52)
Source: RNAcentral
AACGCACCUUGCACUCUUUGGUAUUCCGAAGAGUAUGUCUGUUUGAGUGUCAUGAAACUCUCAACCCCCCUAUUUUGUAAUGAGAUGGGCGUUUGGGCUUGGAUUAUGGCUGCUUGCUGGACCUUUAAUCAGGAUCGGCUUGGCUGAAAUACAAGAGCAAUCCAGUUUAAUUAUAACGGCUUGACUCGGCGUAAUAACUAUUUCGCUGAGGACGUUUCAAUUAAGAUAGUGAUGCUUCUAAUGCAUGUCUAAAAGACAUAACUUUAAGCUUUAGACCUCAAAUCGGUCAGGACUACCCGCUGAACUUAA